This 253-nucleotide ribosomal RNA is filed under the name uncultured bacterium. Its description in RNAcentral is "partial 16S ribosomal RNA". It matches the Rfam family "Bacterial small subunit ribosomal RNA", at positions 524 to 776 of the family's 1533-position model. The record is from RNAcentral.
UACGGGGGGUGCAAGCGUUGCUCGGAAUUAUUGGGCGUAAAGCGCGUGUAGGCGGCUUACUAAGUCUGAUGUGAAAUCCCAGGGCUUAACCCUGGAACUGCAUCGGAUACUGGUGAGCUAGAGGACGAGAGAGGGUGGGAGAAUUCCUGGUGGAGAAGUGAAAUUCGUAGAGAUCAGGAGGAAUACCGGAGGCGAAGGCGCCUGCCUGGCAAGAUAUUGACGCUGAGGUGCGAAAGCGUGGGUAGCAAACAGG